Molecule: ribosomal RNA, 155 nt
Filed under: Lupinus angustifolius (narrow-leaved blue lupine)
Lineage: Eukaryota; Viridiplantae; Streptophyta; Magnoliopsida; Fabales; Fabaceae
Description: rRNA 5_8S_rRNA
Rfam family: 5.8S ribosomal RNA
About the family: 5.8S ribosomal RNA (5.8S rRNA) is a component of the large subunit of the eukaryotic ribosome. It is transcribed by RNA polymerase I as part of the 45S precursor that also contains 18S and 28S rRNA. Functionally, it is thought that 5.8S rRNA may be involved in ribosome translocation.
Source: RNAcentral
GACUCUCGGCAACGGAUAUCUCGGCUCUUGCAUCGAUGAAGAACGUAGCGAAAUGCGAUACUUGGUGUGAAUUGCAGAAUCCCGUGAACCAUCGAGUCUUUGAACGCAAGUUGCGCCAAAGCCAUUAGGCUGAGGGCACGCCUGCCUGGGUGUUA